Molecule: long non-coding RNA, 260 nt
Organism: Formica exsecta
Lineage: Eukaryota; Metazoa; Arthropoda; Insecta; Hymenoptera; Formicidae
Exons: 3
Source: RefSeq, a predicted model, not a curated record
GUUAAGGUUAUAUAGCAAGAAAAUAUAUUUGGUUCUAUCGAGAUAAAGCAAAAUCAAUCAAUCCUUUCAAGAAGGCUGGUAUACUUUUAGCUGGGAUUUCUUCAGCUGGGGUUGCAUACGGUCUUAUACCGCAGAACUUUGCUAAACAGCGUAACAUAUUGGGUUAUAGAGAUUUGGCAGUAACAGACAAUAGAGGGAAGUGACCAUAAAGCACUUAACUUCGGAUGGACAUAAAAACGAUUAAUAACUGUCGAAGUAAA